RNAcentral lists this unclassified non-coding RNA (250 nucleotides) under plant metagenome. RNAcentral describes it as "partial contains small subunit ribosomal RNA, internal transcribed spacer 1, and 5.8S ribosomal RNA". The record is from RNAcentral.
GUAGGUGAACCUGCGGAAGGAUCAUUAAUGAAUUCUGAGUAGGCUCUGCCUCUCACCCUUCAUAUCCAUAAACACCUGUGCACAGUCGGACCCUUGAGUCUUUCGGGACUCCCGGUGUCUUGACGAUCUUAUCAAACAACAAUGUAACCAAUGUAAUCAUUAUUAUAACAUAAUAAAACUUUUAACAACGGAUCUCUUGGCUCUCGCAUCGAUGAAGAACGCAGCAUCUGACUGACUGAACUGUAUCUCA